Molecule: ribosomal RNA, 240 nt
Filed under: uncultured bacterium
Lineage: Bacteria
Description: partial 16S ribosomal RNA
Rfam family: Bacterial small subunit ribosomal RNA
Source: RNAcentral
CAACAAGGAGCAAAUCCCUAAAAUUAGCCUCAGUUCGGAUUGGAGUCUGCAACUCGACUCCAUGAAGUUGGAUUCGCUAGUAAUCGCUCAUCAGCAACGGAGCGGUGAAUACGUUCCCGGGCCUUGUACACACCGCCCGUCAAGCCAUGGGAGUUGGAAGUACCUGAAGUCGAUAACCGAAAGGAGUCGCCCAAGGUAAAUCUAAUGAGCUGGGGCUAAGUCGUAAUCAAGGUAACCGUA